This 70-nucleotide transfer RNA is filed under the name Xylosandrus sp. RNAcentral's name for it is "tRNA-Lys". The record is from RNAcentral. Lineage: Eukaryota; Metazoa; Arthropoda; Insecta; Coleoptera; Curculionidae.
CAUUAGAUGGCUGAAAGCAAGCACUGGUCUCUUAAACCAUAAAAUAGUAAAAUAGCCCUUACUUCUAAUG